GAUGAACGCUAGCGGCAGGCCUAAUACAUGCAAGUCGAGGGGUAGAAGAGGCUUGCUUCUUUGAGACCGGCGCACGGGUGCGUAACGCGUAUGCAACCUACCUUCAUCUGGGGGAUAGCCCGGAGAAAUCCGGAUUAAUACCGCAUAAAAUCACAGGAUGGCAUUAUCCAAUGAUCAAACAUUUAUGGGAUGGAGAUGGGCAUGCGUGUCAUUAGCUAGUUGGCGGGGUAACGGCCCACCAAGGCGACGAUGACUAGGGGAUCUGAGAGGAUGGCCCCCCACGCUACUACUGUGACACGAACCAGACUCCUACGGGAGGCAGCAGUAAGGAAUAUUGGUCAAUGGAGGCAACUCUGUACCAGCCGUGCCGCGUGCAGGAAGACUGCCCUAUGGGUUGUAAACUGCUUUGAUUCGGGAAUAAACCUUAUUACGUUUAAUAAGCUGAAUGUACCGAAGGAAUAAGGGUCGGCUAACUCCGUGCCAGCCGCCGCCGUAA
This 496-nucleotide ribosomal RNA is filed under the name uncultured bacterium. RNAcentral's name for it is "partial 16S ribosomal RNA". It matches the Rfam family "Bacterial small subunit ribosomal RNA", at positions 28 to 523 of the family's 1533-position model. The record is from RNAcentral.